Molecule: long non-coding RNA, 3394 nt
Filed under: Papio anubis (olive baboon)
Lineage: Eukaryota; Metazoa; Chordata; Mammalia; Primates; Cercopithecidae
Description: lncRNA (ENSPANG00000043005.1)
Source: RNAcentral
AUGAUUGUGGAACCUGCUGGACAUUUUCUGAAGCCAGGGACUUCUGGGAUCUUGCUGGCUUCCACGAAGCUCGGGGAUUUCCAUGCAGGAGUAGAAGAUGAUGGGCAUGUGGCUGCAUGGUGCCUCAGAGCUCAGGCUCAGGAGCCAGACAUGCCUGCAUUGAAGUCAUUUCUGACCCUCACUGUGGUCUUGGGUGAGGUUUCUUCUUGUUUUGUUACUGAUGCAGAUGUGGAGGACCCUGGGUGGUGACUGGUAUUGGAAGAUGACAGAAUGAAGGGUAAGGCUUUUUGUUAAUGUCCACCCUGAAAUUAUUACACAAUGCACCACGGUCCUUGCUGGUCCUAAGCAGUCAACUUGAUCUUAUAGUGAUUCCCCAGAAAGUUCUGGAAGGCAAGUGUCUUUGAGAGGUUAUGAGCGUGGGCUUGAGGCAGACCAGUGAGAUGCGAGUCCCAGCUCUAUCCUUUACUAGCUGGGUGACCUUGGACCAGUUGUUGAGCUUCUCAGAGCUUCAUCUUCCUCAUAUGUAAAAUGGGAAUAAUAACAAUAUCCACCUUAAUGGGUUGUAAAAAAGAUUAUUUAUUUUAAUUUCUUACUGAGACAGGGUCUCACUGUCGUCAAGGCUGGAGUGUAGUGCUGCAAUCAGCACUCACUGCAACCUCCACCUCCAAGGUUCAAGUGAUCCUCCUGCCUCAGCCUCCCUAGUAGCUGGGACCACAGGUGCGUGCCACCACUCCUGUGUAAUUUUUGUAUUUUUUUUUGUAGAGAUAGGGUCUCAUUAUAUUGCCCAGGCUGGUCUCAAACUCCAACUCCUGGGCUUAUGUCAUCCACUUGCCUUGGCCCCCCAAAGUUCUGGGAUUACAGGCAUGAGCCACUGUGCCUGAUCUAUAAGGAUGAUUAAAUGAACUAAUAUACAUAGAAUGUUUAGCACAGUGACUGACACAGAGUAAGAUUUAAAAAAUAUCAGCUAUUAUUUUUUCUUCAACUUUUAUUUGAAGUUCAGAGGUACAUGUGCAACACGUGCAGGUUUGUUACAUAGAUAAAUGUGUGCAAUGGUGGUUUGUUGCACAGAUCAUUCCAUUACCUUUGUAUCAAGUCCAGCAGCCAUUAGCUAUUCUUCCUGAUGCUCUCCCUCUUCCACCAACAGGCCCCAGUGUGUGUUGUUCCUCCCAAGUGUUCAUGUGUUCUCAUGAUUCAGCCCACUCGUAAGUGAGAACAUGUGGAAUUUGGUUUUCUCUUCCUGUGUUAGUUUGCUGAGGAUAACAGCUUCCAGCUUCAACCAUGUCCCUGCAAAUGACAUAAUCUCAUUCCUUUUUAUGGCUGCAUAGUAUUCCAUGGUGUAUAUGUACCACAUUUUCUUUAUGUAAUCUAUCAUUGAUGGGCAUUUAGGUUGAUUCCAUGUCUUUGCUAUUGCAAAUAGUGAAUAUCAGCUAUUAUUAUUUUAUUAAUAUUAUUACUGUUGUGGCUCAGGAAAUGAUAACUCAACAUUUGGCACUUUGACGUACUGAAUGCUUCGAAUGGAAAUAGGAAGGCCUCAGAAAUAAGUCUCAGAACCAAGGUCUCUUUGACCUUCCCUUGCUCCCCAUCUCUGAUCCUCUUUCUUUUCUCAAGCACAGGGAAGGACUCUCUCUGAAAUUUUAUUUGACUAAAGAAACUUCUUUCCAAAAGAAAUGCAAUUGUCUUAAGACCCCCUCCCUAGGAAUCUCAUCAAAUAACCACCAGAGAAGAGAAGAGACUAAAAGUCGUCACCAUGCUGAGACAGAUUUUCAUCUAUUCUUCUGAGGGCAGCUCUAAGAGAUUACCUGGGAGACCUUAUCUGCAUAAUAAGACAACCUUUGCUCACAGUGAACUUCUGCCCCUCACCUUCCCACCACCUCCCCUAGAGUUCUGAGGGAUGUUGUCCCAGGCCAUUGUUCUUUGGGCUCAUUAAUUUUCCUUAGAAAUUAUAUACUGUCCCUAAAAUUACCUCCAGGCCCUUUAUUUCCCUUCCCCCUAAGUAAAUAAGUAUUUAAGCCUCAAUGACCUGGUCUCUCUUUGAGCCUCAUAUUUGCAGGACUCCCAUGUCCAUAUACACACCAAGAAAUAUGUAUGCCUUUGUUUUCUCCUGUGUAUUGUUUAUUUAUCAGUCAUUUUAGUGAGCCUUUCAUGGGCAGAAAGGACACUUUUCCUCUGUCCCUACAUUACCAUGGCUCUUGUCAACUAGAAAGCAUUGGGAACUAAUGUGUGCUUCCUGUCCUCAGUUUCAUUAUGUGAAAAAUGGGGCUGCUGAUAAUAGUCACUUCAGUAGCUCAAGAAAGAAAUAAGAGAGGUCACACAAAGUGCCCCCACACAGUGUAGGCACCCAAAAUAGGUCAUUUUCCCUUUCCUCCUUUCUUUGAUCAUAUCCAAGAUCAAGGUAUAUCAAAUAUCGGCAUAAAUGCACAGUUUGGUGGUUCUUGCCUUUUUGAGGGGUCAUGGGUCCAGAAUCACAUCUCCCUCUCAGAGUUCAAUAAUUCAGUGAACUAUAAUGGGUUUUUAUCUCAUUGCCCAGAACAACCCAUCUUAAUGGCUUUUUCACACAAUACAUUAAAUACAAUUUUCUAGGAAAAAAUGUGACCCACAAAAGUGGGUUCUUAAAAGUCAAGCUCCCAGCCAGGCACAGUGACUCUGUAGUUCUAGCACUUUGGGAGGCCAGGGCAGGAGGAUCGCUUGAGCCCAGGAGUCCAAGGCUUCAGUAAGCUACAUUUGCACCAUUGCACUCCAGCCUGGGUGACAGAGUGAGAACCUGACUCUUACAAAUAAAUAAAAAAAAAUUGAACUCUGGUGAUGGUGAGAUGUGGAGAGUCUGACAGUCCCAAGAGUGCUUUGUUGUGGAUCCGUACAGAAGCUUCUGAGCCCAGAAUCUCUGCCUGUUCUGGGACUCACUGUUCUCAUCCCAUGGCUGUCCUUGGCCCCAUUUGAGGCUGUCUGAUGGGUGAAGACAGGAUGGUGUUGGGUUGAAGGGGCCUUCCUCCUUCCCCAGUGCUGUCUCAUACACACACUGGCUGUGUGGGCAGUGCCUUUAACACUCUCUUCUCUAAACUGCAGUUUACAGUGCCUUCCCAUCCAUCUUUGUUGGGCUUCCUUCCCUUCCCUGUUUCCCUUCCAUACCCAUUUCCUCCCCCCCCCCCUCCCCUCCCUCCCUCCCCCCUCCCCUCCCCCUCCCCCUCCCUCCCCCUCCCCCUCCCUCCCCUCCCCUCCCUCCCCUCCCCCUCCUCCUUCUUCUUUUCUUCUUCUUCUUCCUCCUCCUCCUCCUCCUCUUCUUCUUCUUCUUCUUUUCUUCUUCCUCCUUCCUCUCCCUCCUCUUCCCCUCCUCUUCCCCUCUCCUCCUUAAUGCUCUGGCUGGCUGUUGUGCUGGCGCGCUGGCUGGCUGUGCUGG